Molecule: ribosomal RNA, 460 nt
Filed under: uncultured bacterium
Lineage: Bacteria
Description: partial 16S ribosomal RNA
Rfam family: Bacterial small subunit ribosomal RNA
Source: RNAcentral
CCUACGGGAGGCUGCAGUGAGGAAUAUUGGUCAAUGGACGAGAGUCUGAACCAGCCAAGUAGCGUGAAGGAUGACUGCCCUAUGGGUUGUAAACUUCUUUUAUAUGGGAAUAAAAUGUUCCACGUGUGGGAUUUUGUCUGUACCAUAUGAAUAAGGAUCGGCUAACUCCGUGCCAGCAGCCGCGGUAAUACGGAGGAUCCGAGCGUUAUCCGGAUUUAUUGGGUGUAAAGGGAGCGUAGGUGGAUUGUUAAGUCAGUUGUGAAAGUUUGCGGCUCAACCGUUAGAGUGCAUGUGAAACUGGCAGUCUUGAGUACAGUAGAGGUAGGCGGAAUUCGUGGUGUAGCGGUGAAAUGCUUAGAUAUCACGAAGAACUCCGAUGGCGAAGGCAGCUCGCUGGACUGCAACUGACACUGAGGCUCGAAAGUGUGGGUAUCAAACAGGAUUAGAUACCCCAGUAAUC